RNAcentral lists this long non-coding RNA (1888 nucleotides) under Drosophila melanogaster (fruit fly). RNAcentral describes it as "Heat shock RNA omega (Dmel_CR31400)". The stretch from base 1388 to 1474 matches the Rfam family "Heat shock gene hsromega conserved region 2". Lineage: Eukaryota; Metazoa; Arthropoda; Insecta; Diptera; Drosophilidae. The record is from RNAcentral.
UCACUCUCAAAUGAAAAGUGUUCAAGUGCAUUCAAAGUGAAGCUGAAAAAAUAACCAGUUAAAAAUAGUACAAAGAAAUUUUCUUUCUUGCAAUUUGCAAGCAGUAGCUACAACCAAAAAUGGAAAAGUGUAAAAAUCGUGUCCCAGCAGACGAGCAGCAGCAGUACGAGUAUUGCAAAAUGCAGGGGCAAGGGCCCACGUAGUAUUUUUCCACGUCGGGCAUUUAAUGCUCUCGAGUUGGAAACAAUGAAACCAUACGCAAACCCCCUGGAAAAGAUGUGAUUAGUCAUCGAUUUUGCUGGUCAGCGUCGGGGAAUUUCGCAAUGCAGCAGGCAGUUUUCUCAAAUUUGGCUAGAAAGUGACCCACUAGGCAGUCUGAGGCAGUUAUCCAGGAUGUAAGGAUGUGUGCAGUACUCUCUGUGUCGAAUGGCGAUGGCCCUGACCUGCGGAUUUUGAAAGAUUGAAAUAGGAAGCCAGGUAUACAUACACAGCAACGAAUGCAGCGUGUUCUAUAUUCUUAAUUCGUAAGCCAAACCUAUGUUUAAGACGUAGUUUAUAUAACCGUACAUAUGUAUGUAGCGAAACACGUUUUCAAACGUCGCAUCGAAGCCAUUUCUUCUGCAGCCAUUGCAAUUUCAUCGUGUUGCGUAAUCGCAAAUUGUAAAUGUGUCCCUACUACUUCACAUUUGUGUGUAUCCAAGUCGAAAGUUCUCGAACUAUUCUCGUGAGCAACCCCCGGAUCGAAAGGCCACCAACUGGCUCGUUCUCUCUCUCCAGAAACAGCUUACUCUUACGUUUACAAUUGACUCUCUACCUAUCGGGUAUACACAUUUUUAUAUAUGUAUACACUCAGAGACACCCCAAUCCCCCACCAUACAUAUGGCGAGAUGUGUGAAUGUAUCGCAGUUGGACGAAAACGGCAGCUGCGCAGAAAACGCUGCGGCGUACAUACAAACGAGCUCUUUGUUUGCCUUUCCCCAGUUUUGCUUCCCCAUACGUAUAACUGGUGUUUAUCAGCGGUAAUCUCGCCAGCCUGACUUUGUCCCUGUCGCUUCUAUUGACAUUCUAAACUAGAUUGUAGACGUUUUAACAUUUACCUAGCUGUUAAUCUUAUUUGUAAACAUCUCUAUAUGCAACCUGCCAUACCACUUAACCAAGCAAUAUGUAUUUCUUUCUCUAAACUUUAUAGUUGGGCGUUGAAAGUUGAUAUCGAUAUCGAUCCGUGAAAAGUCGAUACCCUGCGCAAGCAUGGGGCGGCAUAUGGGUGCUGAAAACGCACUCGGCCCGAUCCCGAUUGCAGCGUUAUUCGAAAGCUGUGUCUGCGACCGUGACUGAGAUCAUAUGCGUACAUAUAUCUAAUGUCCGGGGUCGUAGGCCAGCCAGGGUGCUCGAUUCUGUCAGAUUGAUUGUGCGGAUUGUGUUAUAGGAACACUGGUGUAUCGACUUCUCUGCUCCACUAUGGGUGAAGGAUACCCUACCGAAAAGGCCUUCUGUCGCUUACUAUCAUCGAACAAGUUCCGUAAAGGGCAGACAUACGUACACGUGGCAGCAUAUUACGUUCAAUGACACAUCGUCUCUGGAUUAGUAGUUGAACCAACGAGCUCGAAUAUACCCUGCCAGUUGGUUGUAAAUAUUAAUUUUGUUCUUAUAUUCAGUUGUAAAGUCAAUACGGAAGACAUUUCCACACCAACCAUGUGUCACUUAUGUUCUUAAAUACCAGAAACUGUUUAAAUUUUUGUUCUUAUACACUUCACCAAUUAAGAAUUACCUGUACUGAUGUAAGUGUACCUGUUGAAUCACAACAAAAAUAGAAAAAAUGAAUAACAAAAGAGCUCUAUAACAGAAAAGCCACAGAAAAAGUGAAUAAAAAUUCAAAAAUUCAAAAAAU